Molecule: ribosomal RNA, 1035 nt
Filed under: Triticum aestivum (bread wheat)
Lineage: Eukaryota; Viridiplantae; Streptophyta; Magnoliopsida; Poales; Poaceae
Description: partial small subunit ribosomal RNA
Source: RNAcentral
AUGAUUCCCCUCCCCCUCCCGACCUUCUUCUUCGUGGCCUCCACCACCCACCAACCUCCAAAUCCUGAGGAGCCACCUGCACUACCCUCUCGCCCGGAACCCACCUCCUAUCCCUCCCUUGAAGCGACUCUAGCCGGCAACCUCCCCCCAGGUCGCGCGCCACCGCGCCUCCCACCCGCGGCGCCCCUCUUCCUUCUCCUGCGCCGCCGUUCGACGCGACGACUAGCUCCCCGCGCCACCAUGCCCUACACCACCGGAUCCAGGCCCUCCUCCACCGAAUCCAGGCCCUCCACCACCGGAUCGGCCAUCUUCCGGAUCCGCAAGCCCGCGUCCAUUCUCCGACGAGCCCGGCCACCCGUGCAACCCCACCUCCACCACCAUCGUCUGGAGCGAGCAGGUGCCGGGAUACGACGAGAUCCGAUGAGCCCGUCCUCGCACUGGUCGCCCUCCCCGUGGACACCCCUCCCGGCGACGAGUUGCACCUCCGUGGCGGCCGGCAGCGAGUGGCACACCGUCCAUCACCAACCCCCCCAUGUAGUGUGCAAACUGCUGCACUUCAGUCCACACCUCUGCCCCCGUCGCUGGGAGGUCGACGGCUCAAGCUCUACCUUUGCGCGAGGAUCUCGGCGACCAUCCAGCCACCCCCCGAGGCGCUCGUCUUGUCGAAAAACCAGAGUCGAUGAUGCCCAGAUGCGGGCUGUUGCCGGCGUGCGUGCAGUCCAGCAUUUGAUUUUUUUUCUUUGUGUUUUUGAGGUGGUCGCGGUUCCUGGGGCAUGGGCGUGCAAUGCGGCGCCCAUGUGUGUGCAGUCCGCGGAGAUGGGGUGCAGAACGAUGACGUUUGUUUGGUGUCUAUUUUUCUCACAGUUGACAUUUUUUCGUAUUUCAGAUUUUCGUUGCAGUCCCAUGGGCGCACAGGUGCAGUGCUGUGGGGGUAGUGCGUCGGCGACCGGCUUGCAUUUCACGGACAAAAUUGUGGAUUUAUUUUUGAAGUCCCUCGUCAUUGUAAUUUGUAUGUAUUUGUACUAUGGCUUAUAA